AAUGAAAUGCCUGAAUAAAGGAUUAUUUUGAUAGAAUAAAUCAUGCAUGUAUAAUGCUUUCAUUA
This 65-nucleotide transfer RNA is filed under the name Opilo sinensis. RNAcentral describes it as "tRNA-Ile". The record is from RNAcentral. RNAcentral also lists the same sequence under 1 other name. Lineage: Eukaryota; Metazoa; Arthropoda; Insecta; Coleoptera; Cleridae.